This 274-nucleotide ribosomal RNA is filed under the name uncultured bacterium. RNAcentral describes it as "partial 16S ribosomal RNA". It matches the Rfam family "Bacterial small subunit ribosomal RNA", at positions 523 to 796 of the family's 1533-position model. The record is from RNAcentral.
AUGCGGAGGGUGCAAGCGUUGUUCGGAAUUACUGGGCGUAAAGCGCGCGUAGGUGGUCUGUUAUGUCAGAUGUGAAAGUCCACGGCUCAACCGUGGAAGUGCAUUUGAAACUGGCAGACUUGAGUACUGGAGGGGGUAGUGGAAUUCCCGGUGUAGAGGUGAAAUUCGUAGAUAUCGGGAGGAAUACCGGUGGCGAAGGCGACUACCUGGCCAGAUACUGACACUGAGGUGCGAAAGUGUGGGGAGCGAACAGGAUUAGAAACCCUAGUAGUCC